Non-coding RNA from Phoenix dactylifera (date palm), 2170 nucleotides. The record is from RefSeq and is a predicted model, not a curated record. Lineage: Eukaryota; Viridiplantae; Streptophyta; Magnoliopsida; Arecales; Arecaceae.
AAACAUGUUUGUCAUGGUUUCCUUAUGCUUGUUUCCUUUUACAAUAAUUGUAAAUUUACUUGCUGAAGUCAAUUAUCAAUUCAAAGGUUCGUUUCUAGUGAACUAGAGGCAUUUAAACAUUUGAUAUGCAGACACUUAUCUUUCUAAAUUAAAUAUGAUCUCUAUGUGCCCUCUUCAGGGUAAGGUUUAAAACUAGUUGCAGCUAAGAUUGCUGAUAAGUCAACUUCUAUUCUUCUGUAGUACUUAGAUACAUUUAGAUAUAAUAUUAUACUGUAAUAUACCUUAAAAGCCUUCAGAGCACUUUUGUACACCCUCUCUUCCAAGUUCUUUAAUGCCUUCUCCAUUGGAAGAAUUUGAUCUGUCAAUAUGAUCACUUCACUUUGUUAUGAACUGUUUCAUCAUCAGACUAUUGGUGAAACAUUGCCUUAGUGGUAUCAUUAUUUAAGGGUUUGGUUAAAUUAUGCUCUAGGAUGAAGAGUUGGUGCAUAUCAUGUCUUGCUAGGUAAGGGGCAAUCACUGUCACACAUGGAUGUAUAAAUAAUUUAUUUGACAUCUUUGGUGUGGUUCAAUCUUCUAGAGGAAUUUAAGGAAUGAUAUGAUGAGUCCUGGGCUGUACUUUGCUGUAUUGUUCUGUACUGGUUGUAUUGCAGCUUCCUCCUUCUGUGGUUCUCAGCAGUGACGACUCAGAGGUUCCCCCCUUUCAACCAAGGACUCUCGGUGCAUUUAAUUUAGUCGUGUUUCCUUGAGCAUAAUUGAUAUUAUCCUAAUUUUCCUUUCCAUUUGUAGUUUGUAUUGCUGUCAGGCUGUAAUAAAUCUGAAAUAUAUUAGUUCAUUUGGUUCCUUGGAUUCUUAAGUAGGUCCAAUAUUCACUUAAGCAUGCAUGCUAUCUUCACUCUUUCAGCUUCUCCCUCCAAUUAAUGUACUCCUUCUUUUAACCUCAUAUUAUUCCUUAUUCAAUUGUUUAAUUUCACCAUAUAUGGUAAAAGGUUGGUUUUCAGAUAUGCUUCUUAUACACUGGGGAUCGUUCGGUUCGUGUAAGGUUGCUGUUUAUUGUUUAAAGUACAUUAAUGUUGCCAUGGUAACAAUUUUGAAGAAUGUCACCAAUGUCAUUACUGCUCUUGGUGAAACAUACCUUUUCCAAAAGCAUCACGGCAACAAAGUCUGGGCUGCUCUGUUCCUUAUGAUAAUCUCAGCAAUUUCUGGAGGAAUCACAGAUCUCUCAUUUCAUGCAGUUGGCUAUGCAUGGCAGAUUGUUAAUUGUUUCCUGACAGCAUCAUAUUCACUAACACUACGGCGGGUUAUGGAUACAGCUAAGCAAUUAACAAAAUCUGGAAAUUUGAAUGAGUUUUCAAUGGUUUUGCUCAAUAACACACUUUCAUUGCCUUUGGGGAUUCUGCUAGUUUUUGCAUUUAAUGAAGUGGAUUACCUUUCUAAAACGCCGCUUUUGAGGAUGCCUUUAUUCUGGUUGACAAUGACUUCAAGUGGGUUUUUGGGGCUUGCAAUCAGCUUCACUUCAAUGUGGUUUCUUCACCAGACAGGUGCAACUACAUACAGCCUUGUAGGAUCACUGAAUAAGAUACCUCUGUCCAUUGCUGGAAUCCUUCUCUUUAAAGUUCCAACUAGCCUGGAGAAUUUCAUAAGCAUCCUUUUUGGUCUGUUAGCAGGCAUAUUCUUUGCCAAGGCAAAGAUGAGGGAGAGAUCUCAGUCCUGAGGUAGAGAGGGGCCGUUCAUUGGAAAUCAUUGUUUGGAGCUGGGAAAGUGCUGUAUUUGCAGAAUUACAGUAAGAACCAGAAAAUUAAUCAGAGUCCAAUGCUGAAGAACUUGGGGGUGCAAUGACCUAACUGUGCCAUGGGCAUCAACAGUGUACCAUCUUAUUUUAUCGGAAGUCUCGGAGGAGACAAAUGGUGCGGCGGACCAUCACCCAUGUAUUUUUCUCAAAAAGGGAAAAAAAGGGGCACCUGUAAUAAAACUUCUUGUAGAAUGCUGCUUACCGUUGGUUGGACAUGAUUCAGUAAUCUAGUUGAGGAUAAAACGCUUUGGAAUUGUUAAUUCAUAACUUGAGACGUACGUGGCUGAAUGUAUCUUGCAAGAAAUUUGGAUGAAGCUUUUGAUGUAAAGCUACAAAUUUAACAAAAAAUGAGUAUGACUUCUCAGUGUGCUUAAAUAUUUA